CUGCUGUUAGAUGGUAAGAUUUAAUCAAAUUAGGUUUUAGAGAGAGAAAAGAGAGCAGAGCUUCACACACCUGCUGAGAACAUCAAGAUGAAUCGUGUAUUUCUGGUCCUGGGCUUCGUCCUGAUCAUGGCGCUCUACUCAGACGCUAACCUAGCUAUACAAGUUUUUGGAGAAGUCGAGGCUUGCUGUUUCAACUUCUUCAAUGGAAAAAUUCCUCCCACACACAUCCUGCAGGUUAACCGGACAGGCUCACACUGUCCACAGCAAGGCUUCAUGCUUCAUAAAAUAAAAACUUUAAAAGCCAUUUCUUCACCAUUUAUUAUGACGCUUAAUGUUGUUAUUGUUGCUUAAUGCUGUGCAGAUUCAAAUAAAGUUAUCAUUGCA
This is a long non-coding RNA of Tachysurus vachellii, 384 nucleotides long. RefSeq lists it as uncharacterized. The transcript has 3 exons. NCBI's taxonomy places the organism in Eukaryota, Metazoa, Chordata, Actinopteri, Siluriformes, Bagridae. The record is from RefSeq and is a predicted model, not a curated record.